This 254-nucleotide ribosomal RNA is filed under the name uncultured bacterium. Its description in RNAcentral is "partial small subunit ribosomal RNA". It matches the Rfam family "Bacterial small subunit ribosomal RNA", at positions 26 to 285 of the family's 1533-position model. The record is from RNAcentral.
AGGACGAACGCUGGCGGCGUGCUUAACACAUGCAAGUCGAGCGGAAAGGCCCUUCGGGGGUACUCGAGCGGCGAACGGGUGAGUAACACGUGAGUAACCUGCCCCUAGCUCUGGGAUAGCUCCGGGAAACCGGGAUUAAUACCAGAUACGACCACUUUAGACAUCUGUCGUGGUGGAAAGGAUUCCGGCUAGGGAUGGGCUCGCGGCCUAUCAGCUUGUUGGUGGGGUAACGCCUACCAAGGCGACGACGGGUA